GGAGCAUGUGGUUUAAUUCGAAGCAACGCGCAGAACCUUACCAGCUCUUGACAUCCCGAUCGCGGACAGUGGAGACAUUGUCCUUCAGUUAGGCUGGAUCGGUGACAGGUGCUGCAUGGCUGUCGUCAGCUCGUGUCGUGAGAUGUUGGGUUAAGUCCCGCAACGAGCGCAACCCUCGCCCUUAGUUGCCAGCAUUCAGUUGGGCACUCUAAGGGGACUGCCGGUGAUAAGCCGAGAGGAAGGUGGGGAUGACGUCAAGUCCUCAUGGCCCUUACGGGCUGGGCUACACACGUGCUACAAUGGUGGUGACAGUGGGCAGCGAGACCGCGAGGUCGAGCUAAUCUCCAAAAGCCAUCUCAGUUCGGAUUGCACUCUGCAACUCGAGUGCAUGAAGUUGGAAUCGCUAGUAAUCGCAGAUCAGCAUGCUGCGGUGAAUACGUUCCCGGGCCUUGUACACACCGCCCGUCACACCAUGGGAGUUGGUUUUACCCGAAGGUAGUGCGCUAACCGCAAGGAGGCAGCUAACCACGGUAGGGUCAGCGACUGGGGUGAAGUCGUAACAAGGUAGCCGUAGGGGAACCUGCGGCUGGAUCACCUCCUUUCUAAGGAAGCCGACCAUGGAUUACGGAUUACCGGACAUCCUGGUCACGCUUAUUAGAACAUAGAUGGCGCCAGUCAGGCGACCAUCGCAACACAUACGCUGUUGAGAUGUGUCUUCGGACACACCGCAGUAAGGCGAAUACCGCCGUCUACKUUUCUCUUUCUCUAAAAGACAAGGACCACGCUUUGGAGCGUCAAUCCUGGUUUGGCCUUGUGGCUUGACCGGAUGGGUGCUGCAGUGUUGUUCAACCCUUAUGGGCCCGUAGCUCAGUUGGUUAGAGCACACGCUUGAUAAGCGUGGGGUCGGUAGUUCGAGUCUACCCGGGCCCACCAUGUUUUGUCCUGACGCUGUCGCGCUCUUCGAGCGCUGCGCUCCGGACGGGCCGUCCCGUAGGGACGUGGGGCUCUGCCCCUGUUUGGUGGUUUACGGUUGGGUUCGUUGAUCCAGGUUCGCGGCCUUCGGGCUGAACGGAUUGGGGCUGUAGCUCAGCUGGGAGAGCACCUGCUUUGCAAGCAGGGGGUCAGCGGUUCGAUCCCGCUCAGCUCCACCAUUACGGUGCUUUGAAAAAAGCGCCUUUGGUGUUGAGGUUGGCGGAUUGAUUGCCUUGUCUUUAAGAGAAAUAAAAGUUUGCAUCGGCUCGUUUGAGCCUGAUGCCUGUUCUGAUUACAUUGUGAAGAGAAGAUAUGUCUGGAAGCUUCCAGGUGUUGAGGGUGAUCGAAAGAUCGUCUGAAACGUCCGAGCCCAGUCCUGUUAAAGCUGUCGACGGUCUAGCCGAUCCGAGACAGUGGAGGGGCUGGAGGUAGGUAGGAAGCUUGUUACUCAAGGCAUGUUUGUUGUUGGUUGUUGGAACCAUCGAAACUUCAAGUCCGCAAGGGUUUGGGGGUUUUGGUGUUUCUGCUGCCUCUGACGAAAUGUCGAUUGGCGUUGCCUGACCGCGCGUCACCGGACAGAUCUCGAGAAGCUGGUCUUAAGAUACGACCUCGAAGUGCACCGGCGUGCCUUCAUAUGGGGAUUGUAUCGAACACGUCGAUGGCAUCUGGAUUGGAUGUGGCUGUAAAAGGUAGCUGCAUCGCCCCUUCCCUUCGGGAAGGUGGCUUAAGGAUGGGCAUUGGCAAUGAGAACGAUCAAGUGAAAUAAGGGCAAUUGGUGGAUGCCUUGGCAUGCACAGGCGAUGAAGGACGUGAUACGCUGCGAUAAGCCGUGGGAGCUGCGAAU
Molecule: small RNA, 1816 nt
Filed under: Rhizobium giardinii
Lineage: Bacteria; Pseudomonadati; Pseudomonadota; Alphaproteobacteria; Hyphomicrobiales; Rhizobiaceae
Description: bacterial SSU rRNA
Rfam family: Bacterial small subunit ribosomal RNA (bases 1-602)
Source: RNAcentral